Molecule: small RNA, 635 nt
Filed under: Pongo abelii (Sumatran orangutan)
Lineage: Eukaryota; Metazoa; Chordata; Mammalia; Primates; Hominidae
Description: processed transcript
Source: RNAcentral
GGAGUCUAGGCUGUUCCUCUCGCGCCACCACUGGCCGCCGGCCGCAGCUCCAAGUGUCCUAGCCGCCCAGCCUCGACGCCGUCUCGGGACCCCUGUGCUCUGCGCGAAGCCCUGGCCCCGGGGGCCGGGGCAUGGGCCAGGGGCGCGGGGUGAAGCGGCUUCCCGCGGGGCCGUGACUGGGCAGGCUUCAGCCAUGAAGACCCUCAUAGCCGCCUACUCCGGGGUACUGCGCGGCGAGCGUCAGGCCGAGGCUGACCGGAGCCAGCGCUCUCACGGAGGACCUGCGCUGUCGCGCGAGGGGUCUGGGAGAUGGGCUGCAGUCGCUGCAUUUGAGGAAGUGAGACCAGGGGGAUGUACACAAGAUGACUGUGCAGAGUGAUCUGAGCAAUGACAGGAAAGACUGCAAAGAGGUGAGACCGGGGAGCUUGAUCACCCUGAGGUCAGGGAAGUCUUCCUGGAAGAGGUGACAUUCAGUCCGGAUCUGGAAAGAUGAAUAGACAUCAGCAAGACAGGCAAGAACAUUCAGGUACAGGAAAUAGCAUAAAUAGAGGCAUGAGAUUUGGAUGGGAGAGGCAGACUGACUGCAGGGCCUCUGAGUGACCAACUGAGGCUGAGGUCCUGGUGUACUGAGAGCC